Molecule: long non-coding RNA, 1216 nt
Organism: Ruditapes philippinarum (Manila clam)
Lineage: Eukaryota; Metazoa; Mollusca; Bivalvia; Venerida; Veneridae
Exons: 2
Source: RefSeq, a predicted model, not a curated record
UCGAUUGAGAUAAUCCAUUUAACUGCAGUAUGAAUGAACUGAUCAAGUGACACAAAACGGAUGUUGAAUACAUACACACAGAAUUAUGUUAUAAAUUAUUCACUUUAUAAUUAUUUUAACACCUAUGCUACCAGUGUAGAUUCAGAUCAGCUUGCGCAUCCAUGCAAGGGAGUCAAAAUCCAAAGGCUGAAGUCACAGGACUCCAAGUCAGUAGUUCCCGUGAGCCUUGUUAGAAUCAGAGACAUAGAGAUAAGCAGCUCUUAUAUUCUCCAUUGAAAUAUCACUCAUGCCUAUCAAAAAGUGAAAAAUUAGGCAUUUUGUAGCAAAUAAAACUUAAUGGAUGUACAUUUGAUCCUUAAAUAUUAUAUACCAUUUCUUUGAAAGGUAAAUCUUUCAUCUAUGACUGCAUGUUAAAAGUGAGCCAUUUUUUUUGUCACAUGAAUUUUGUAACAAAAAAUAUCAAGAAACUCUCUUUAAAAAAUGAUGUAACAUUUAUUUUAAUGGGAACUGUAAAUAUUUUUACCUGCAGGCUGCAGCAAUAGACAAAUGCAUUAGUUUUCAGAAAAUGUAUUAUUUUACUGAUUUUGAUAUCUGGUUAAUAAGUUUUACUUGCUACAAGUUUUAAGUUUAGCAGGCAUGCGUGAUAUUUUAACUGGCUCGGAAGAAGCCUAACUCUGUUAUCUAUGUCUCUGUUAGAAUAUGAUUUUUAAUAAAAUAAGAAAAUGCAUUUAAAUACAAUGUAUGUCAAAACAGAUCUAAAUAAAAUAAUAAUAUCCUUUUUUCAGAUGUAUUACCAUCAUUGUUUUUUAUCAUUUACUGUUUCAACUGCUUGUCAUAACGAGGCUUUGAAUCUUGGCUGUCGGUUUCAUUUUCAUUGGUCUUGUAUUGCUUUUCGGUCGUGACUUGCUCUAAUAAAAAGUAAAUUGAAUCUGCAGAAACUAUGUUAAGGCUUUGUUCUUAUUUGAUAAAUGUGAAUGUAUUAAAAUAUUGAUUUAUAUUUAAACAGGUGAACAUUUGGUUGGACCAUUUGACGAGUGUUUCUGCCAACAGAAAAAAGGGGCAAGGCAAAGGCGUCCGAAACACGGUCUUUGAAAAAGGUUCAAGCUUCUAUCCAUGCCCAAGCUUCUAUCAAGGUUCAAGCUCCUAUAUAUCCCGACUCAAGCUCCCAUCCAGGCUCCUGCUCCUAUCCAGGCUCUUCAGGAAAGUGCACCAGAUU